This is a non-coding RNA of Meleagris gallopavo (turkey), 2047 nucleotides long. NCBI's taxonomy places the organism in Eukaryota, Metazoa, Chordata, Aves, Galliformes, Phasianidae. The record is from RefSeq and is a predicted model, not a curated record.
UAAGCCUCAUUUAAAGGCUGGCAGUCACAAGGGAAGAGUCUCUACCUAGAGAUCCUGGAGUGUUUGGUGAGCUCUUACCCUUGGGACAGAGCCAAAGCUUCUCUGCCAUCCGAUCAUUGUGUUGUUGCUGGUUGUGCUGCACUACAACAGAGACCUAUUAUCAUUCACUGACUGGAUUCAGUUUUCUGGAAAUUGCAUCUUUCCUGUUGGUUCUAGGUCAAACUUUGCAGUCAGCAGAGCAGACUGGGAUGGAAAAAUGCCCCUGAGGUCUAUGGAAUUUUGUAUAUAGAAGACUGUAGGGGAGCUUUUAUUUUUAAAAGCUGAAAAGAAUAAGGGAAAGAAGCAAUUACACUCUUAGGUUCAUGUUGCAAGGACUUCAAUAUUAUGCAUGCAGUUGAGAUUAAAUUGAUCUGAGAAACACCAUUAUUCUAGUAGUGAAAAGAAUUAAACAAUUGCUCAAGUUAAACUUCUAAAUAACCUAAUUAACUUUUUGAAGUGGGUUCUUUUAGUCUCUUCAAAAUUAGCACUUCAACAUCUAUGAAACUGUCUUAAAAAGAUUUUGACUACUUACAGGAUAUGAGACAUCCUAUUUCAGAUAUGAAUUAGUUCUAAGUAGUUAAUUUUACUACAUCUUACUUUUGCAUUGUCAAUGUUAAUUUUUAUAAUUUGAUAUAUCUUAGUCUCUGAAGGAACUUAUUAAAGAUGUUAGAGAUCUUAUUUACAGUCUCAAACCCUGCUACUUCAAGUAUGCAACCACUGAAAUAUUGUAAUGUGUCAAGGAAAGUCAUUUUUCAAAUGAUCAGGCAGAACUAACCAGAUGUAUGAGGUAGCCUCACACUUAUGUUUGCAGGUCUGAGUCAUAACUACACGAAUGUUUAUGAAUGUUAAAUUGGUAGGACAAAAGCAGAAAUAACUCAAGGAGUACAAGAUAUUGCAUGACUUUGCCAUCACCUAGCGAGAAAGUAACCCUCUAGAUAAAAGCCAGACUAUCGAGCUGCCAUUCUCCCCACACAAACCUGAUGCUCACCAUUUUUCUGAUGGUCCAAACCAAGCAAGGAGGUGUGGAAGUGUUCACACCAGGAAUGCCUUGUCUUGUGAUAGAUGGGUAGAAACCCCAGGUUGGGGGACUCAGGAAGGUACUUGUCUUGGCUACAGGCAGCAUGGAUUCAGGCUGCUUUUGCUCAGCAAGGGUUCCUUGAUGGGAGGCAGCCAUACAGGAUGAUGGGCCACAGCCCUGCUAUGGUUUGUGGCCAGCGAAUGGCUGCAGGAUGCUUGGUGCCUGCAGCUGACUGCCUCUGUCAUUGCCUGCUUAGCCUUGUGGGGACAAGUAGUACUACUUUUCUUUGUACACGGCGAGAAGUUGGGAGACAUAGGCUUCUAGCUUAUGCUCUCUAAAUUGCUCUUGGUAAGUGUUCAGAGCAGUCCUCUUCUCUGCACUGUACAUUUGAGGGAGGUGGGCAUGUUUUCUGCAUAGCUUGAGCUACAGUUAAAAGGACAGUUGUUUGACUGUAGGGAGGAUUUAGUUUGGACAUAAACUCAGGGUGGGGUAUAAUCCAAUUAUGACUGCUGUGCUUAUGUUCUCCACAUGUGAAAUGGAAGUGGCAGUGCCUUGCACAGAACUUGUGUAGUUUUCUAAACAUUAAGGAACCAAGAUCACUCCUAUAUCAUAUUCGUGUCUCCAUCCAAGACCGAACCUCCUCAGAUUCCUAGCUCAGUGAGGCUUUCUAUUUCUCUACUCAUCCCAGGGCCUGGAGCACUUUUGUCCAACUUCCUUAUGCCUGUACCUUAAUGAAACAGGAGUAUGAUUUCAAAUCUAUGGUUACUGGUGAAAUGUAAAAUUUGUGGAAAAUAACUUCUCUAUUGAAACUCUAUUUGCUGUAAUACUUUGCUGUAAUACUCAUGAAAAAUAUUACACAUGCCAUUUAUCAGUCCUUAAUGGGAACCAGGAACCUAAUUGGCAGCUCACCAGAUGAAUAAAGAAUACAGAAAGAUACCAGCUUCCCAGGGAUGUGCCUAGAUAACUGGAUAUAGAAUACACAUUCUGUGG